AACGUAGGAGGCGAGCGUUAUCCGGAUUUACUGGGCGUAAAGCGCGUGUAGGCGGAUCAGAAAGUUGGAUGUGAAAGCUCCCGGCUUAACUGGGAGAGGUCGUUCAAGACUUCUGGUCUAGAGUGCAGUAGAGGAAAGUGGAAUUCCGGGUGUAGUGGUGAAAUGCGUAGAUAUCCGGAGGAACACCAGUGGCGAAAGCGACUUUCUGGACUGUAACUGACGCUCAGACGCGAAAGCUAGGGUAGCAAACGGG
RNAcentral lists this ribosomal RNA (253 nucleotides) under uncultured bacterium. RNAcentral's name for it is "partial 16S ribosomal RNA". It matches the Rfam family "Bacterial small subunit ribosomal RNA", at positions 524 to 776 of the family's 1533-position model. The record is from RNAcentral.